GACGAACGCUGGCGGCGUGCUUAACACAUGCAAGUCGAACGGAAAGGCCCUGCUUUUGUGGCGUGCUCGAGUGGCGAACGGGUGAGUAACACGUGAGUAACCUGCCCUUGACUUUGGGAUAACUUCAGGAAACUGGGGCUAAUACCGGAUAGGAGCUCCUGCUGCAUGGUGGGGGUUGGAAAGUUUCGGCGGUUGGGGAUGGACUCGCGGCUUAUCAGCUUGUUGGUGGGGUAGUGGCUUACCAAGGCUUUGACGGGUAGCCGGCCUGAGAGGGUGUCCGGCCACAUUGGGACUGAGAUACGGCCCAGACUCCUACGGGAGGCAGCAGUGGGGAAUAUUGCACAAUGGGCGGAAGCCUGAUGCAGCAACGCCGCGUGCGGGAUGACGGCCUUCGGGUUGUAAACCGCUUUCGCCUGUGACGAAGCGUGAGUGACGGUAAUGGGUAAAGAAGCACCGGCUAACUACGUG
Molecule: ribosomal RNA, 468 nt
Filed under: uncultured bacterium
Lineage: Bacteria
Description: partial 16S ribosomal RNA
Rfam family: Bacterial small subunit ribosomal RNA
Source: RNAcentral